CUUUCUUGGACACCUCCGUGAGUGCAGCAUUCUGUCAAUUGGAGAGUGAAGUGUCAGCUCAGAUAUUCAUUCUUAAGUCCUGGAGAGAACCUCAUGGCUCAGAGCAAUUGCUCAAACUCACAUCCUGCACUCGAAGACAAAAGAGAUCAGUGCAACAAAAGAAUUCCACUUGUCUAUUUCCAGCACGACUGAUCGGGCUGGUCGGGUCCGAAAUGACAUACCUCUGAGACUGGGUCUGCAGCAGCUGCUGAGGAAACCAACAAGAGGGAAUAACAAACCUGACCUCAUCCUCAUGCGGGACAGCAUGCCAGGAGCAACACCAGGUAUGCAUGAAAACAAGAUGUCACUUGGUGCCACUGGGUAUCAGUUGGCUCAAUUGGCUGGACAUUUUAUUUGUGAUGCAGACUGAUGCCAACAGUGUGGGUUUGAUUCCUGAACUGGCUGAGGUCACCAUGAAUGUCCCUACCUCUCAAACUCUCCCCAUCGCCUGAGGAUUGGGACCCUCUGGUUAAACCAUCACCAGCCAUGUCUCUCUGUGAUAAUACAAUUGUUCUCUGGGACUAUAGCAGGAAUAUUUAUGUGCUAAACAGCACAAGCAGCAAGUAAUAAACAGAGCUAAGAGAGCCCACAACCAAUGGAUCAGAUUGAAACUCUGCUAUCCUGUUACAUCCAAUCGGGAAUGGUGGUGGACAAUUAAACAACUCACUGGAGGAAAAGGCAUGUUAACAGUUUAGAAAAUAAAGUUACAUAUAAAUUGUGUUUUUAUAUAUAAUGUUUUGUUACAGAGAUACAAAUUAAAAUUAUUUACAAGGCAAGUUAAAGAAUAUUCUCUGUAGAUAAUAUAUCUUCAGAUAAAAUGUUAAAAAUCACACAACACCAGGUUAUAGUCCAACAGCUUUAAUUGG
Chiloscyllium plagiosum (whitespotted bambooshark) is the source of this 905-nucleotide long non-coding RNA. RefSeq lists it as uncharacterized. The record is from RefSeq and is a predicted model, not a curated record. Lineage: Eukaryota; Metazoa; Chordata; Chondrichthyes; Orectolobiformes; Hemiscylliidae.